Molecule: ribosomal RNA, 482 nt
Filed under: uncultured bacterium
Lineage: Bacteria
Description: partial 16S ribosomal RNA
Rfam family: Bacterial small subunit ribosomal RNA
Source: RNAcentral
GACGAACGCUGGAGGCGUGCUUAACACAUGCAAGUCGAACGAUGAAAUGGAGCUUGCUCCAUGGAUUAGUGGCGAACGGGUGAGUAACACGUGAAUAACCUGCCCUUAAUUUUGGAAUAACCCAGGGAAACCUGGGCUAAUACCGGAUAAGUAAGCCUGUGGCAUCACAUGGUUUUGGAACGUUUUUCGAUUAAGGAUGGAUUCGCGGCCUAUCAGCUUGUUGGUGAGGUAAUGGCUCACCAAGGCGACGACGGGUAGCCGGCCUGAGAGGGUGAACGGCCACACUGGGACUGAGACACGGCCCAGACUCCUACGGGAGGCAGCAGGGGGGAAUAUGGCGCAAUGGACGAAAGUCUGACGCAGCGACGCCUCGUGAGGGACGAAGGUCUUCGGAUUGUAAACCUCUUUCAGCAGGGACGAAGCGAAAGUGACGGUACCUGCAGAAGAAGCACCGGCUAACUAUGUGCCAGCAGCCGCAGUAA